This 494-nucleotide ribosomal RNA is filed under the name uncultured bacterium. Its description in RNAcentral is "bacterial SSU rRNA". It matches the Rfam family "Bacterial small subunit ribosomal RNA", at positions 29 to 518 of the family's 1533-position model. The record is from RNAcentral.
AUGAACGCUAGCGACAGGCCUAACACAUGCAAGUCGAGGGGCAGCACAAGGAGCAAUCUGAGGUGGCGACCGGCGCACGGGUGAGUAACACGUAUGCAACCUGCCUGUAAGCGGGGAAUAACCCGUUGAAAGACGGACUAAUACCGCAUAAUACUAAAUUACUGCAUGGUAAUUUAUUUAAACAUUUAUGGCUUACAGAUGGGCAUGCGCAUGAUUAGCUAGUUGGAGAGGUAACGGCUCCCCAAGGCAACGAUCGUUAGGGGUUCUGAGAGGAAGGUCCCCACACUGGUACUGAGACACGGACCAGACUCCUACGGGAGGCAGCAGUGAGGAAUAUUGGUCAAUGGACGAGAGUCUGAACCAGCCAAGUCGCGUGCAGGAAGAAUGUCCUAAUGGAUUGUAAACUGCUUUUGCAGGGGAAUAAAGUGCAUCACGUGUGAUGUUUUGUAUGUACUCAGCGAAUAAGGAUCGGCUAACUCCGUGCCAGCAGCCGC